RNAcentral lists this ribosomal RNA (228 nucleotides) under uncultured bacterium. RNAcentral's name for it is "partial 16S ribosomal RNA". It matches the Rfam family "Bacterial small subunit ribosomal RNA", at positions 122 to 334 of the family's 1533-position model. The record is from RNAcentral.
UAACCUGCCCUUUGGAGGGGGAUAACGUUCCGAAAGGAGCGCUAAUACCGCAUACAGCAAGAGUCGGUUCGCCGAUUUUUGGCAAAGGUAGGGACCCGCAAGGGCCUACCGCCAGAGGAGGGGUCUGCGGCCCAUCAGCUAGUUGGUGAGGUAAUGGCUCACCAAGGCAGAGACGGGUAGCUGGUCUGAGAGGAUGGCCAGCCACAUUGGGACUGAGAGACGGCCCAG